GAUGAACGCUGGCGGCGUGCCUAAUGCAUGCAAGUCGAGCGAACGGACGAGAAGCUUGCUUCUCUGAUGUUAGCGGCGGACGGGUGAGUAACACGUGGAUAACCUACCUAUAAGACUGGGAUAACUUCGGGAAACCGGCGCUAAUACCGGAUAAUAUUUUGAACCGCAUGGUUCAAAAGUGAAAGACGGCCUUGCUGUCACUUAUCGAUGGUUCCGCGCUGCAUUAGCUAGUUGGUAAGGUAACGGCUUACCAAGGCAACGAUGCAUAGCCGACCUGCGAGGGGGAUAGGCCACACUGGAACGGAGACACGGUCCAGACUACUAAGGGAGGCAGCAGUAGGGAAUCGGACGCAAUGGGCGAAAGCCUGACGGAGCAACGGCGCGUGAGUGAUGAAGGUGUUCGGAUCGGAAAAAUCUGUUAUUAGGGAAGAACAUAUGUGGAAGGAACUGAGCAGAGAUUGACGGUAACGAAUCAGAAAGCCACGGCUAACUACGUG
Molecule: ribosomal RNA, 497 nt
Filed under: uncultured bacterium
Lineage: Bacteria
Description: partial 16S ribosomal RNA
Rfam family: Bacterial small subunit ribosomal RNA
Source: RNAcentral